RNAcentral lists this ribosomal RNA (253 nucleotides) under uncultured bacterium. RNAcentral's name for it is "partial 16S ribosomal RNA". It matches the Rfam family "Bacterial small subunit ribosomal RNA", at positions 524 to 776 of the family's 1533-position model. The record is from RNAcentral.
GACAGAGGGUGCAAACGUUGUUCGGAAUUACUGGGCGUAAAGCGAGUGUAGGCGGUUUGGUAAGUCGGAUGUGAAAGCCCCGGGCUCAACUCGGGAAGUGCACUCGAUACUGCCAAGCUAGAGUAUCGGAGAGGUUGGUGGAAUUCUCGGUGUAGAGGUGAAAUUCGUAGAUAUCGAGAGGAACACCGGUGGCGAAGGCGGCCAACUGGACGAAUACUGACGCUAAGACUCGAAAGCGUGGGGAGCAAACAGG